Molecule: non-coding RNA, 301 nt
Filed under: Photobacterium profundum SS9
Lineage: Bacteria; Pseudomonadati; Pseudomonadota; Gammaproteobacteria; Vibrionales; Vibrionaceae
Source: RNAcentral
CAUGGAGAGUAAAAGGACCACCGAAGGAUUCGGUAACAGUAAGCAGGAUGUUUACUGGUCAGGAUGACAAAAGGACCACUUCAGGGUUGAAGUAAAGGACACCUCCAGGAAGGAGAUGAGAGUUGAUAUAGGAUGUAUCGACGGGUUAGGGAAAGCCAAAGGAUCUCUUCAGGACGAAGAUAAAAGGACAAUGCUGACGGAUUACAGCAGUCAAUGGAAUGAUGCAGGGAGCACCAUAGUAGCCGGAUUGCUGCAAGUAAGACCUAAGGGCGCGACGCAAGUCGCGCCCGCUCUUUUAUGU